This 5534-nucleotide long non-coding RNA is filed under the name Xyrichtys novacula (pearly razorfish). Lineage: Eukaryota; Metazoa; Chordata; Actinopteri; Labriformes; Labridae. The record is from RNAcentral.
CCAAGACAGACAUCAUGCAAGAUUCCUGAUGCAUGUGAAGCAGUAGAAUGCUGGGAUGUCUAACCUGAGGGUAACAGGCUACUUUCGCCUGACUGGAUACCUGCUGAGACCUGCAGUGAAGUGAAGGAGAAGAAGGGAGAGCGUUGAAGUGAUCAUGCAACAGGAGACAAGGAAUUCAGAAAAAAAGGUAACACGUUUCUUUUUCUCAACAAAAGAAUUUACAUUUUUUCAUGACCUUUUUCAUCAAUUUGUUCCUGAUGACUGAAUGGUAUUGUUUCUGCAUUUCAAUUUAUGCUUUUUAGAAAUGCCAAUGUAUUCAUGUUCUGGGUUUACCUCUGCAAAUUUUAAUCGAUUGAUCACUGAGAGAGAGGUCAUGCUCCUGAUAUCUGCGGCACACUUUAGGUAGAUCUAUCUGUCUUUUUCAUGGAGUUAACACACGACUGAGGCAGGCACCUGUUUACAUAAUUUCCUUGAAAUCUAAUAGAAAUGUACUUUUUUAUCCUUAAUAACCAAUAAUGUUUUGAAAAGAGAUUUACUGUGAUGCAGCGUUUUUUAGUUGGCUUUCUCGGGUCUUAUUUUGGGAUGUUUAAUUCUAAUUUAACAUGAGAAUUAAGAUGUUAAUGCUACAGACGCACUUUAGAUGAGUGUAAAUGAAAAGCAAAUGAUUGCAUCUGACAGAAAUCUGUCUUUGAGAAAGGAUUGCUUCCUCUCUGUAAACUUCUGCUCUUUAAAAUGCACAGCUGGCACUUCACCAGUCCAUACAGCACGUCUUUUGUGCCUCCAACAAAUUGCAAAGAUUAUGCCACCGCAGAUUUCACUGCUCCUCUCCUGCAGAUCCUUUGGCUUACCUGUGUCUGAAGUAACAUCUGUUCGCUCUUUCUUAUUUGGAGUAGACGGUCACAGAUGUCCUUCCAUGUCUUUGCAACUCAGUUUGAUGGUGUAUGAGUAAUAAGAUCCACUAAAACUGAUAGUGUGAUCAAAUAUUAUCCUUUACCGAUUGUACAUUAUGAAAUUUCUGAUUGCUCACCAUAAUUUUAUGCCAGAUCCAAAAAUUGGCUGCAAAUUAUUCCCAGUUAAACAACCAAGGUAAGGUUUUGGAAUAUUUUUAUAUUACUUAAUAUAUUCAAUUUUAAUUAACCACAAAUGUAGUGUAGUGCUUAGACCACACUGCUUAGUGAUUUUCUUCACCUGACCUUAAGUUUUAUAGAGUUUGCUCAUUAUAGAGCAGAGAGAGGGGUGCAUUGCAGCUCUUGAAGUCAUGAAACCGAAUUAAAGAAAUGACCAAUUGUGUUCAGAUUAUUUUUGUCAUUGUUAUUAUUCAGCCAAUGUGAUUCUUAAAGUGCAUAAUCCUGCCCCUGUUCAACGUACUUAACACUAAAUAAAGGAAAAACCUUAUUGCACUGCUACAGGUCACAGAGUGGGAUUAGUCACAGCACUGACUGCACAGUGCACAAAGUAGCUCUGGGGGCACUUUCAUUUAAGAAAGCUUAUAAUUUUUGCAUGAAAUGUUUUGUUUUCAAGUUAUGUUUCAACAACAUGACAAGAAAAUAUAGUGAAACCAAAGGUGCCUGCAGUCCGUUUGUUGCCAGCGUCAUUCAUUGGCACAGUGGGUAUAUCUGCUGCUGAUGAACAUCUAUACUGCAAUUCGGUUUAAAUAACAGUUUGAGAUUUGAAAGUGGUUCAAGUAAAUUACUUCAAAUUCUGAUUUGACGUCAGUGACAACAGGUCAAUGAAUAAUUCAGUAUUUAGCUCCAGUAAGCAGGCAAAAAUGCCUCACACACAUAAACCUACUUCAACUGGAGAGUCAGUGUCCAUAAGUGGUUUAUGCAAAAAUAUUUGUUUUGUUUAGUUUUGUAUUUUGCUGGUAUUGCAGUCUUUUCCCUACUUCCUGUUAUAUCACAUCGUUUACCUUGUGUUUAAUACGUUUCUUUAACACUUUUGAACCUAUUUAUACCUGAUUGUUAUUGGAUCCUGUUCCAUGUUCUGAGUGUCUUCUGUCUGAUUUUGUUAUCCUAUUCACCAGUGCGUCAUAACAUCUAGUUUUGUAUUCCCUCCUUCUUGAUUACCCUGAUUAGUUUCCCUUGUGUCUUGUGUUGCACCUGUUUGAUUGCUUCAGUUGUCCCCAUAUUGGACUUUUGAGCUUUGACUUGAGUAAAUUUUGUGAACCUUUUGCCCCCUUGUUAAUUGAGUUCCUUGGUUUUGUCUGUGUCCUUGGGUCCUUUAAUACAAUGUGACAGUCUUGUCUUCACCUUUACUUGAAGGGACCAUGUAUAAGUCUCAGAUCAACACAGUAAGCGGCUAAAAUGGUUAAUUCAUAGUUUGAGGAACUUCUUAGCAAUAGUUGAAUUAUCAGCUGAAGUUGGCCUCUGUUGAGAAAACUAGUCAUAGAACCAAAUCAUACUGCUGCAGACAGGGUCAACUCUACUGUUGAAUUUUUAAAAGUCAAACCAACAUUAAUGUUGGUGUUACUGUACAUUGUACACUAUUCAGGAAAAAAAAUAAUCUCUUAAAUUUGCUGUUAGAAAAACUAUUCAUUUCUGUAGAGGAAAAAUGAGGCCAAGUAGAGGAGGGGAGAAACUCUUCUGCUGAAUGGAGAGUAGAGGAGAUACUAAAUUAUGUGGUGGUGCAAAGUGGGCGAGCUGCUGCUGUUGUGGGAAGGACUUAGUGAUGUCAGUGGUAGGGCUGCACUGAUAUGGGUUUUUCAUGGCCCAUAGCAAUACUAUUUAUGACUAGUCAUGAUAUUAGACAACUGAUAUUUGAAACCAAUAUGUGCUGAUAGUUAAAAGGAAUACAUUUUGGGGGCAUGCAGAUGGCCGAGUGGGUUAGCGUGCCCCAACUUGGGGACCACAGUCCCCGCAGCAGUCGUGGGUUUGAGUCCAGCCCUGACCUUGUGCUGCAUUUCCUCCCCCCUCUCCUCUCUCUAUCUCCCCACACUUUCUACCUGUCCCAUCAAUAAAGGCAAAAACUCGCCAAAAUAAUUAAUCAAUAAUUAACUCAAGCAUAAAAAUAUGCAGUCGUGUUUUAAGUGCUUAAAAUGAUCACUGCAAAAAUACCAUCAAUGUCAGAUGUUUUUUCGUCUCUGCACUCUCUGCCCUCGAAGUUGAAAAUAGUUUAACCUCUGUGCCGUCCAAGAGAGAGAUAGAGUGAACAAACAAAAGUAGACAACUGUCAUAACUUCAAUGUUAGAGUGAUUCUCAUCAGCUUCACUGUGGUGAAGUUGAAGUUGUGCUUCCCCAGGAAAUCUAGUAAGAAGGUAGUAGAGUAUAUAAAAACACACAAACAAAAAACAGUCAUAACGUUAAUAGUUACUGUUCAUUAUGUCCAUUAUUUCUGACCUGUAUUACCCCCCCCCCCCAACAUAAAAGGGUUGUAAAGAUGUUUUCUUUUGUUGCUUCCCCACAGCUGGAUUGAACCUUUUAAGCCAAUAUCUACUUACAGGGAUCCAAUUUCAUUUAUUUAAUUAAUAUAAUUAUAUAAAAGAACACUUCAUUUUGCAAAAGCUUGAGAUAUAAAAUAUCUCUUGAUAUGAUUUGCCAUGAGCAAGAUCCACACGUAUAUGCACUUUUGCUUUGAUCGUAGUAUUUUCUGAAGUUUCCCUCGAUUUCAUUCCAACUGAAGUUUCAACGUAGACCGCCAUUCAGUGGUUAAGAUGUUGCUCUGGCCUCGCGAAUAAAAAAGAAAUCUCUAGAUUAAUUAAAGAAGACAGAAAUUGAUUCAAUGGCCAUACAAAAGCAUAAACUGUACAUACCAGUUGUAAAAGGAUCACUGAUACAUCAAACACUCUGCUGUGCAUCAUAAGGCAUCAAUCAGUCACCAGUAAAUGCUGCCUUUCAUCUUAGAAACAGCUCGGUAAUAGCGUUGUAUUCACCUUGUAAAGAGGAAAAAAAACUUUUUCCCAGACUCUGAAGAUUUGGCCUGAGGGCAUCCCCAACCAUUUUCCCUUUUCUUUUUUAGAGACAAUCUAUGCAUAUGCCCAUGCCCAGACAUACACUUAUGGCCAUGCACACAUGGCCUCACACACGCACAGAGAGAGGGAGAGAGCGAGAUAGAUAGAUAGAGAGGGAGAGAGAGAGAGAUACAAACAGGACACAAAUCCUUCUGGCCUCCCAGCCUGGCUUUCUCUCUCCCCGCUGUGCUUGAUCAGGCGUCUUCCGUUCAUCUGCAGAACACAGAGAAAUGGCUAUGGUCCCAUGUAGGCUUGUUUUCAUCCUGCCUUUUCCAUUUUAAGCCCCAGAACACCACUGAAAAGGCAGCUUCACUCUGACAAACUCUUUUAGGUGUCCAUCUACUUACUUGUUAGUCUGCCUGGCCAGCCGCCUGCAGGUCUAGCAGCAAUCCCAUCAGUGGCUUCUGUCUCUCGUCAGAUUGAAGGCCUCACCCUGGGACGCCAUAUCGAUAGGGGAACAACUGGUCCUUGGUUUUUGAUGAUGGAGAGAGAAACUGCUGGACGAUUUCUAAUAAGACGAGAAAGGACUGAAACUGGUGUUUUAGGGCUUGUUGAAGUGAGAUAGAAGGCGCAGGGGAUAAAAUGUAAGGUAGGGAACCACCAAGACGGAGAUGGAAAUAUGAUCUGCUUAGUCUUUGAAGUAGGACAGUUUGAAACUGCUCUGUUGGUACCAGAAGACCAUUUAAAUCGACAAAUAAUUGGACUUGCAGUUGUUGCCUCUGUGGAUCCAAUGAAAGUACACAGUCAGUAAGCACAGAUUUGCCGAGAUCGGACUAAACACUACUGUGUGUUUGCUGUUUGUCAAAUUGGGGUCAAAUAUAACCAAGAGCUAAAAUAACAUUGAGGUAAAAGCACUUGUUUUAAACAACGAAAGACAGAGAUUAAUGAUAUGAACAUUAACCAAUAAUUGCACUCUGUGUAAAGGCCUCAAAUCAUUAAACGCUCUGUAAACUUUACUGUAAACUUAACAAGCCUAGAAGCUGGAUUUAUUAGACAGGGUCUAACCAGGGGUCAGGGUUAUAGUCUAGAAACUUGCUGUAUGAUACAAAUUGUCUGUCACACUGAUGUACAACAAGCAGUCAGUUUCUGCAGGGGAAAGGGUUUGUGUUGUCUUUCUACUUUAAGAAUUUAAUUGCUUUCAAAAAGUCCAUAAUAAUGUACAGUUUGUGUGCAACUGUGAAGCUCUUUCUAGUACAAUCUGUUUUCACUACCCAGCUAGCUACCAGAACUGUAGUUGAGCGUCUCUAGUCUUGAUAUACAGAAAUGCUGAACAUGUUCUUGAGCAUGAACCAUAAGACAGACCCACUGCCUGUGACCAAUCUACUAAAACUUGUAUAACCAUCUUCAACUUUGUUGUCUUAUGCAGCUGAGAAGAUCAAAUUAUGACGUGAACUUGUCCUACUCCCCAAAACUGGAGGGAAAUAUGGGUCUUUUCAGCGGCGCUGUUUCAACAACAACAGCAGGUCCGUGCCAGACAUCAGAAGUGGCUACAACUGCUGCUGGGCAUUUUCGAGCAAGAAGAUGAAGCAUCUUACAGCGUUGUUUUUGUCAUACAUGAUGUACGCACUACUUUUUCUUUAAAUGAUAG